RNAcentral lists this long non-coding RNA (502 nucleotides) under Anser brachyrhynchus (Pink-footed goose). Its description in RNAcentral is "lncRNA (ENSABRG00000012653.1)". The stretch from base 1 to 133 matches the Rfam family "Rhabdomyosarcoma 2 associated transcript conserved region 7", at positions 136 to 268 of the family's 268-position model. The record is from RNAcentral. Lineage: Eukaryota; Metazoa; Chordata; Aves; Anseriformes; Anatidae.
UAAAUGUCCUGCAGGUGACUGAAGCUGCUGCAAUUUUAUUGGAGAUUAAAGUUUGAUUGACCUUUGCUGAGGUGAUUAACCCUUUUGAAAUUAAAAGCUGGUGCUAAAUUAUUCUGUCCAAUUUAAAUGCAAACACAGAACAGUAUGCUGUGUCAUUCAAGUGUAAGGGGGAAAAAAAUGUUUUAAUUUUCCUUUUGCACUCAGUGAGCUGUGCUUGCAGACGGCGUGACUGGGCUCUGCUGGAGCUGGCCAGUGGCAUCCUGCCUCCACUCUGCUCAUCACCGCUACAGCAGCCAUACUGCGGGAACGCCAAACCUGGGAGCAGCUGCCUGAAACAAGUCCUCGCAUGCAGGGAUGUCAGCAGAAGCACAUGGAAGCACAUCAGCAAGGUUUAGCUGGUGGAUCACAUUGUAAAAUCUGCAGCCAUGAAAGGCCCUCCAUUUAUUGCACCCUUCAAAACGGAAUAUUAGCAUGGGAGGCUAAGCUGGGUGUUAUGGAGUAG